CCCUAUGGGGCGUUGGGGCCGUUUUGGUUUCAGUUUAUGUUUCUUCAAGUUCCUUCAACUGCGCCACGUAGCCAACAAUUAGAGACUUGUGCAUCCGGGAGGCAGGCUGGCUCAGCGCUCUCAGUCUUCUGAGCCCUUCUCAGAACAGAAGCAAUUGAUGCAGCAAAGCGCACGGGUGGGUAUGAGAACCAAAGUUAGUUCGGUAUGCAUUUGGUGCUAAAGUGAAAAUAUUAAUUCCUUUGUGUGUCCUUGAGAGAGAAUACCUCAUCUGCCAGGCCGGUCUGUACCUCCUAAAACACAUAUGCAGAAUGUGGUGACAGUGCCCCUCUGACACCCCAGGUUUGGGCCUUGUGAAGCCACAGCUGUAGCCCCUGCUGUCUUGGAACUCAGCUGCCAUGCUGUAAGGGAGUGGGGAUAGCUUUCCAGAGGAAAAGACCCCAUGGAGAGAACAAUAAAAACUAUAUCUAGAAUUGACUCUUCUUUAAAAUAAAGAACUACAUAGUUCCC
Molecule: long non-coding RNA, 507 nt
Organism: Phyllostomus discolor (pale spear-nosed bat)
Lineage: Eukaryota; Metazoa; Chordata; Mammalia; Chiroptera; Phyllostomidae
Exons: 2
Source: RefSeq, a predicted model, not a curated record